RNAcentral lists this transfer RNA (86 nucleotides) under Acidimicrobiia bacterium. RNAcentral's name for it is "tRNA-Tyr". It matches the Rfam family "tRNA". From Rfam's summary of the family: Transfer RNA (tRNA) molecules are approximately 80 nucleotides in length. Their secondary structure includes four short double-helical elements and three loops (D, anti-codon, and T loops). Further hydrogen bonds mediate the characteristic L-shaped molecular structure. tRNAs have two regions of fundamental functional importance: the anti-codon, which is responsible for specific mRNA codon recognition, and the 3' end, to which the tRNAs corresponding amino acid is attached (by aminoacyl-tRNA synthetases). tRNAs cope with the degeneracy of the genetic code in two manners: having more than one tRNA (with a specific anti-codon) for a particular amino acid; and 'wobble' base-pairing, i.e. permitting non-standard base-pairing at the 3rd anti-codon position. The record is from RNAcentral. RNAcentral also lists the same sequence under 2 other names. Lineage: Bacteria; Bacillati; Actinomycetota; Acidimicrobiia.
GGGUCGGUGUCCGAGUGGCCAAAGGAAGCAGGCUGUAAACCUGCCGGCGUACGCCUACGGAGGUUCGAAUCCUUCCCGGCCCACCA